This is a long non-coding RNA of Leptopilina boulardi, 495 nucleotides long. RefSeq lists it as uncharacterized. The record is from RefSeq and is a predicted model, not a curated record. The transcript is spliced from 3 exons. Lineage: Eukaryota; Metazoa; Arthropoda; Insecta; Hymenoptera; Figitidae.
UCCCAUAUGAAUUGUUAAAUGUUAAAUGACAUUUAUAAAACUAAUUAAAUUGUUAUUGUAUUAUUAGUGACAAUGUAUAAAAGUUAAUGUGUAACACGUUUCAAGUUUUUAUUGGAUAAUCCAUGGUUCUGCAGGAGUUUUGGUUGUAAGAAUUUAGCGGAUAACAUUUUUGAGAUUGUAGAAAGUUAAGCUUGAAUAAAUAAGUCGCGUUGCAGUUGAUUCUUGUAUUUUUGGAAAGUUAGGAUUUUUCGAUGGAUAGAUGUUCAAGAUGUAAGGGACAGCAUUCUCAAGAAAGUUGCAAAACGAAUUUCAAAAAUUUAUUGUAAAAUAAAUUUUUAUUCACCCUAAACUAAAGAGGCAAAGGAAUUUAUUACUAUUUCUUGACGACACAACUAUCAAGCUCUUCUUUUUUCUACACUUAUAUAGCAGCGUGUAAUUUCUCUAAAAAUCCAUAUUUUAUUUAAUUACUUUAUUUAGAAUUUAAUUACCUCUUAC